RNAcentral lists this ribosomal RNA (253 nucleotides) under uncultured bacterium. RNAcentral describes it as "partial 16S ribosomal RNA". It matches the Rfam family "Bacterial small subunit ribosomal RNA", at positions 524 to 776 of the family's 1533-position model. The record is from RNAcentral.
CACGUAGGGCGCAAGCGUUGUCCGGAAUUAUUGGGCGUAAAGAGCUCGUAGGCGGCUUGUCGCGUCGAAUGUGAAAACCCGCAGCUCAACUGUGGGCUUGCAGCCGAUACGGGCAGGCUUGAGUUCGGUAGGGGAGACUGGAAUUCCUGGUGUAGCGGUGAAAUGCGCAGAUAUCAGGAGGAACACCGGUGGCGAAGGCGGGUCUCUGGGCCGAUGCUGACGCUGAGGAGCGAAAGCGUGGGGAGCGAACAGG